GAUGAACGCUGGCGGCGUGCCUAACACAUGCAAGUCGAGCGGAUAGAGGAGGCGUGCUCCUGUAUGAAGCUAGGGGCGGGCGGGUGAGUAAUAGGUGUAUAACUUAUCUUUAAGAAUGGGGUACGUUAGGGGGACCGGAGAUCACAUACGACAUGAUAUUGAAAGGGGGGGUUCAUCAGAGAUAGAGGGAUCUGAUGAGCCUAGGUCGUAUUAGCUAGUUGGUGGGGUAAGGGCGUACCAAGGCGACGAUCCGUAACUGGUCUGAGAGGAUGAUCAGUCACACUGGAACUGAGACACGGUCCAGACUCCUACGGGAGGCAGCAGUGGGGAAUCUUGGACAAUGGGCGAAAGCCUGAUCCAGCAACGCCGCGUGUGUGAAGAAGGUCUUCGGAUUGUAAAGCACUUUAAGUUGGGAGGAAGGGCAGUAAGUUAAUACCUUGCUGUUUUGACGUUACCAAAAGAAUAAGCCCCGGCUAACUUCGUG
This 484-nucleotide ribosomal RNA is filed under the name uncultured bacterium. RNAcentral's name for it is "partial 16S ribosomal RNA". It matches the Rfam family "Bacterial small subunit ribosomal RNA", at positions 28 to 507 of the family's 1533-position model. The record is from RNAcentral.